AUCGCUGGGUAGCUAUGUGCGGAAGGGAUAAGUGCUGAAAGCAUCUAAGCAUGAAGCCCCCCUCGAGAUGAGAUUUCCCAUCACGUAUGUGAGUAAGAUCCCUAGAAGAUGACUAGGUAGAUAGGUCAGAGAUGGAAGCAUGGCGACAUGUGGAGUUGACUGAUACUAAUCGAUCGAGGACUUAACCACAA
RNAcentral lists this ribosomal RNA (191 nucleotides) under Bacillus sp. CH30_1T. Its description in RNAcentral is "partial 23S ribosomal RNA". It matches the Rfam family "Bacterial large subunit ribosomal RNA", at positions 2737 to 2925 of the family's 2925-position model. The record is from RNAcentral. Lineage: Bacteria; Bacillati; Bacillota; Bacilli; Caryophanales; Bacillaceae.